GCCGACGUAGCUCAGUGGAAGAGCAUCCGCCUGUCGAGCGGAGGGCCGCCGGUUCGAUUCCCGUCGUUGGCG
This 72-nucleotide transfer RNA is filed under the name Micromonospora echinospora. Its description in RNAcentral is "tRNA_Asp_GTC". It matches the Rfam family "tRNA". Rfam says of the family: Transfer RNA (tRNA) molecules are approximately 80 nucleotides in length. Lineage: Bacteria; Bacillati; Actinomycetota; Actinomycetes; Micromonosporales; Micromonosporaceae. The record is from RNAcentral.